UACACAUGCACAGGGUUGAAACCAGUUCCUACGCAACCGGUAGGAAUCGGACCGGAUUAGAACGCAAAUUUCGGUUCCACUUAAUGUGUCGACUGAAAUAUUUUCCCUCAGUCGCUGUGA
Etheostoma spectabile (orangethroat darter) is the source of this 120-nucleotide long non-coding RNA. RefSeq lists it as uncharacterized. The record is from RefSeq and is a predicted model, not a curated record. The transcript has 4 exons. NCBI's taxonomy places the organism in Eukaryota, Metazoa, Chordata, Actinopteri, Perciformes, Percidae.